Molecule: non-coding RNA, 314 nt
Organism: Pelobates cultripes (western spadefoot toad)
Lineage: Eukaryota; Metazoa; Chordata; Amphibia; Anura; Pelobatidae
Source: the annotation of a GenBank genome assembly
CUACCUAUGAUUUGGCUCAUGGGGCCUUUGUGCCACUGAGGUAGGUGGCGGGGUGUUGGUCUCUCGGUGACACGUAUAAGAUUUUAAUAUUGAUUGGCCGUGACAAGUGAGGCCCUAACUAUUACCUGAUGCAAGACGAUAACAAUGUGUUGGGCCAAUUGGGCUUGUACCUCUGAUCAUAGGGAUGAGUGUUGGCCUUGAGGGACCACUCAACUAAAGGCAAAGAGGCCUAUGGAAUUAUACCUAAUUGGUUUGUUAACCUUAAGUUACUACCUAACUGGGUUUCUUUUUCUUCACACAUACCUGCUAUUGGC